This 371-nucleotide ribosomal RNA is filed under the name uncultured organism. RNAcentral's name for it is "bacterial SSU rRNA". It matches the Rfam family "Bacterial small subunit ribosomal RNA", at positions 526 to 896 of the family's 1533-position model. The record is from RNAcentral.
CGUAGGGUGCGAGCGUUAAUCGGAAUUACUGGGCGUAAAGCGUGCGCAGGCGGUUUGUUAAGAUAGGCGUGAAAUCCCCGGGCUCAACCUGGGAACUGCGCUUAUGACUGGCAAGCUAGAGUACGGCAGAGGGGGGUGGAAUUCCACGUGUAGCAGUGAAAUGCGUAGAGAUGUGGAGGAACACCAAUGGCGAAGGCAGCCCCCUGGGUCGAUACUGACGCUCAUGCACGAAAGCGUGGGUAGCAAACAGGAUUAGAUACCCUGGUAGUCCACGCCCUAAACGAUGUCAACUAGGUGUUGGGAGGGUAAAACCUUUAGUACCGGAGCUAACGCGUGAAGUUGACCGCCUGGGGAGUACGGCCGCAAGGUUA